This 308-nucleotide long non-coding RNA is filed under the name Pan troglodytes (chimpanzee). RNAcentral's name for it is "lincRNA". Lineage: Eukaryota; Metazoa; Chordata; Mammalia; Primates; Hominidae. The record is from RNAcentral.
AUGUAAAGCCUCUGUUAAUACUUUUCCUGUUAACAACCUAACUAUUCAACUGCUGAAUAAAAACCAUUAGGACAACUAAAGUAACAGAAACUGAGAGAUUUUAGCAAGAAAUAGUCAUUCCAAUAUCAAUGACUACAGAGGAAAUGCAAUUAAUUUUCUUUGCUUAAGUUUUCCAGGGCCUUUCUCUGUUGCCCAGGCUGGGGUGCAGUGAGGCAAUCUUGGCUCACCACAAUCUCUCCCUCCUGGAUUCAAGCAAUUCUCCUGCCUCAGCCUCCCGAGUAGCUGGGAUUACAGGCACGCACCACUAC